UUCUAUCUUUAAGUCAUGACAGAUAUUGUUAUUAUCAGAACUCAGGAUAAGACCCAGAUGCAGACAGCUAGAAUCACAGAUGUUUAUUGCCCGAAACAGGGGGCAGGCAGAAGACUGGUCAAGGGCAGGCAGAGGUCUGUAAUCCAAGGCAGAGUCGGGCAGGUACAGAACAGCAAGCAGGUUCAGGGUCUGGGCAGGCAGAGGUCUGUAAUCCAGGGCAGAGUCAAUAAGGUACAGAACAGCAAGCAGGUUCAGGGUCAGGGCAGGCAGAGGUCUGUAAUCCAGGGCAGAGUCAAUAAGGUACAGAACAGCAGGCAGGCUCAGGGUCAGGGCAGGCAGAGGUCUGUAAUCCAGGACAGAGACAAUAAGGUACAGAACAGCAGGCAGGCUCGGGGUCUGGGCAGGCAGAGGUCUGUAAUCCAGGGCAGAGUCAGGCAGGUACAGAACAACAAGCAGGCUCAGGGUCAGGGCAGGCAGAGGUCUGUAAUCCAGGGCAGAGUCAAUAAAGUACAGAACAGCAGGCAGGCUCGGGGUCUGGGCAGGCA
Long non-coding RNA from Oncorhynchus keta (chum salmon), 545 nucleotides. RefSeq lists it as uncharacterized. The record is from RefSeq and is a predicted model, not a curated record. NCBI's taxonomy places the organism in Eukaryota, Metazoa, Chordata, Actinopteri, Salmoniformes, Salmonidae. The transcript has 3 exons.